UGGGAAUUUUGGACAAUGGGCGCAAGCCUGAUCCAGCCAUGCCGCGUGCGGGAAGAAGGCCUUCGGGUUGUAAACCGCUUUUGUCAGGGAAGAAAUCUUCUGAGUUAAUACCUCGGGAGGAUGACGGUACCUGAAGAAUAAGCACCGGCUAACUACGUGCCAGCAGCCGCGGUAAUACGUAGGGUGCAAGCGUUAAUCGGAAUUACUGGGCGUAAAGCGUGCGCAGGCGGUUUUGUAAGACAGAGGUGAAAUCCCCGGGCUCAACCUGGGAACUGCCUUUGUGACUGCAAGGCUUGAGUGCGGCAGAGGGGGGCAUGGAAAUUUCCCGCGUGUAGCAGUGAAAUUGCGUAGAUAUGCGGAGGAACACCGAUGGCGAAGGCAAUUCCCCUGGGCCUGCANUGACGCUCAUGCA
RNAcentral lists this ribosomal RNA (412 nucleotides) under uncultured bacterium. Its description in RNAcentral is "partial 16S ribosomal RNA". It matches the Rfam family "Bacterial small subunit ribosomal RNA", at positions 356 to 753 of the family's 1533-position model. The record is from RNAcentral.